Molecule: non-coding RNA, 69 nt
Organism: Podarcis lilfordi (Lilford's wall lizard)
Lineage: Eukaryota; Metazoa; Chordata; Lepidosauria; Squamata; Lacertidae
Source: the annotation of a GenBank genome assembly
GCCGUAGCUCAAUGGCAGAACACUUGCUUUGGGCACAAAAGGUUCCAGGUUCAACCCCUGUUAUCUCCA